Alligator sinensis (Chinese alligator) is the source of this 668-nucleotide long non-coding RNA. RefSeq lists it as uncharacterized. NCBI's taxonomy places the organism in Eukaryota, Metazoa, Chordata, Crocodylia, Alligatoridae. The record is from RefSeq and is a predicted model, not a curated record. The transcript has 3 exons.
GGCAGGAAGCACAAUUGUGGGGAUCCCACAUCAGAUCCCAUCAUGCCUUUACUUGCCAAAGGCCUUACUUGUUCCUCAGGAUGACAGAUUAUUGGACCCUGUAUGCAGAGCUUUUCUGAAUCACCUUGACGCCAACAGCUUGAAUCCUGCACAAAGUGCUUUCUACUGUGUCUGCGAGCAGCUUUCCACUUGCCCUCUGUCAUCUGCGUAGACCAGCUCUCUCAACCUGCCGAUCACAUUGUUCCAGCCUGCCCACCCACUGUGCCUGGGACCUACACCUGUCUAAUUUUGCUUGUUCUGCACAGCUGAAUUUUAACUUGUAUUUAUGCCAUAAAAGUCAGGUUCUUCUGAUAUUUACACUGGAGUUACUCAGGAACCAGGGCCUUUUCCAGUUCCCACUGAAGUUAAUGAAAAGAGUCUUACUGACAUAAGCAUAGAAGUCAGAUCAGGACCUUACAGCAAGGCACAUCAUAAAUUAAUACAGAAUCUGACCCUUCAUGACUGUUUUAAAGGCAUGCACUUGAAUCUAAGCCAAUGUAUUUAAUUGCAGGAAUACUGAAAUAUUUUUAUGUAAAUGGAGCCCAAAUUUCUAUGCUAUUAAUAAAUAUUUCCAUUAUACACCAGUGUUCAUGGCCCUGAACAAAGCCAGGAAGACAAAUACGUAAUGC